UAGGGAAUAUUGCGCAAUGGGGGAAACCCUGACGCAGCGACGCCGCGUGAGUGAUGAAGGACUUCGGUUCGUAAAGCUCUGUCGCAGGGGAAUAAAACCGAAUGUACCCUGUAAGAAAGGAUCGGCUAACUUCGUGCCAGCAGCCGCGGUAAGACGAGGGAUCCAAGCGUUGUUCGGAAUCAUUGGGCGUAAAGAGGGUCUAGGUUGUUUGAUAAGUCAGAUGUGAAAGCCCUGGGCUUAACCCAGGAAGUGCAUUUGAUACUGUUGAACUUGAGUGUGGGAGAGGCUAGUAGAAUUCCAGGUGUAGUGGUGAAAUACGUAGAUAUCUGGAGGAAUACCGGUGGCGAAGGCGGCUAGCUGGCCCAACACUGACACUUCAACCCGAAAGCGUGGGGAUCAA
Molecule: ribosomal RNA, 400 nt
Filed under: uncultured bacterium
Lineage: Bacteria
Description: bacterial SSU rRNA
Rfam family: Bacterial small subunit ribosomal RNA
Source: RNAcentral